Molecule: ribosomal RNA, 567 nt
Filed under: embryophyte environmental sample
Lineage: Eukaryota; Viridiplantae; Streptophyta
Description: eukaryotic LSU rRNA
Rfam family: 5.8S ribosomal RNA (bases 151-306)
Source: RNAcentral
AUUCCGUUUGGGGGUGCCGUGGAUGUCAUGUUGGGAUUUAACAAACCCCGGCGCGGAAUGUGCCAAGGAAAACAAAAGUGAGAAGGACUUGUCUUGUCUUGCCCCGUUCGCGGUGUGCAAGUGGGUCGUGGCCUCUUUGUAAUUAAAAACGACUCUCGGCAACGGAUAUCUCGGCUCACGCAUCGAUGAAGAACGUAGCAAAAUGCGAUACUUGGUGUGAAUUGCAGAAUCCCGUGAACCAUCGAGUUUUUGAACGCAAGUUGCGCCCGAAGCCAUCCGGUUGAGGGCACGCCUGCCUGGGCGUCACGCUUCGCAUCGCCCCCCACCAUACAUACCCAACGGGUACUAAUGGUGUUUGGGGCGGAGAUUGGCCUCCCGCACCUCUGAUGCGGUUGGCCUAAAAAUGAGUCCCCUUCAGCGGACACACGACUAGUGGUGGUUGAACAGACCCUCGUCCUUAUCGUGUGUCGUGAGCUGCAAGGGAAACCCUCACCAAAGACCCUAUUGCAUUGUUUUUUGGACAAUGCUUCGACCGCGACCCCAGGUCAGGCGGGACUACCCGCUGAG